CCAAUAGCGUAUAUUAAAGUUGUUGCAGUUAAAAAGCUCGUAGUUGAAUUUUGGGUUUGGCCGAUUGGUCCGUUCUUGUAACGAGUACUGGUCGGUCGGGCCUCACCGCCUGGUGAUGCGUAAUGCCCUUUAUUGGGUGUUGCGAGUAGCCAGGACCUUUACCUUGAAAAAAUUAGAGUGUUUAAAGCAGGCUUAUGCCGGAAUACAUUAGCAUGGAAUAAUAGAAUAGGACGAUGAUUCUAUUUUGUUGGUUUCUAGGACCAUCGUAAUGAUUAAUAGGGAUAGUUGGGGGCAUUAGUAUUCAAUUGUCAGAGGUGAAAUUCUUGGAUUUAUUGAAGACUAACUACUGCGAAAGCAUUUGCCAAGGAUGUUUUCAUUAAUCAAGAACGAAAGUUAGGGGAUCGAAGACGAUCAGAUACCGUCGUAGUCUUAACCAUAAACUAUGCCGACUAGGGAUCGGGCGAUGUUAUUUCAAUGACUCGCUCGGCACCUUAUG
RNAcentral lists this ribosomal RNA (496 nucleotides) under uncultured Glomeromycotina. RNAcentral's name for it is "partial small subunit ribosomal RNA". It matches the Rfam family "Eukaryotic small subunit ribosomal RNA", at positions 591 to 1092 of the family's 1831-position model. Lineage: Eukaryota; Fungi; Glomeromycota. The record is from RNAcentral.